GACGAACGCUGGCGGCGUGCCUAAUACAUGCAAGUCGAACGAGAGCGACCGGUGCUUGCACUGGUCAAUCUAGUGGCGAACGGGUGAGUAACACGUGGGUAACCUGCCCAUCAGAGGGGGAUAACAUUCGGAAACGGAUGCUAAAACCGCAUAGGUCUUCGAACCGCAUGGUUUGAAGAGGAAAAGAGGCGCAAGCUUCUGCUGAUGGAUGGACCCGCGGUGCAUUAGCUAGUUGGUGAGGUAACGGCUCACCAAGGCCGUGAUGCAUGGCCGACCUGAGAGGGUGAUCGGCCACAUUGGGACUGAGACACGGCCCAAACUCCUACGGGAGGCAGCAGUAGGGAAUCUUCCGCAAUGGACGCAAGUCUGACGGAGCAACGCCGCGUGAGUGAAGAAGGUUUUCGGAUCGUAAAACUCUGUUGUUAGAGAAGAACAAGUGCU
RNAcentral lists this ribosomal RNA (441 nucleotides) under Granulicatella adiacens. Its description in RNAcentral is "bacterial SSU rRNA". It matches the Rfam family "Bacterial small subunit ribosomal RNA", at positions 28 to 457 of the family's 1533-position model. Lineage: Bacteria; Bacillati; Bacillota; Bacilli; Lactobacillales; Carnobacteriaceae. The record is from RNAcentral.